Molecule: ribosomal RNA, 253 nt
Filed under: uncultured bacterium
Lineage: Bacteria
Description: partial 16S ribosomal RNA
Rfam family: Bacterial small subunit ribosomal RNA
Source: RNAcentral
UACGUAGGGUGCGAGCGUUGCCCGGAUUUAUUGGGCGUAAAGGGCGCGUAGGCGGCUCUGCACGUCCGUUGUGAAAUCGCCCGGCUCAACUGGGCGGGGUCAGCGGAUACGGCGGAGCUUGAGCAAGCUAGGGGGCAAUGGAAUUCCCGGUGUAGUGGUGGAAUGCGUAGAUAUCGGAAGGAACACCUGUGGCGAAAGCGGCUCACUGGACCAUAACUGACGCUGAGGCGCGAAAGCUAGGGGAGCAAACAGG